This is a long non-coding RNA of Monodelphis domestica (gray short-tailed opossum), 7958 nucleotides long. RefSeq lists it as uncharacterized. NCBI's taxonomy places the organism in Eukaryota, Metazoa, Chordata, Mammalia, Didelphimorphia, Didelphidae. The record is from RefSeq and is a predicted model, not a curated record.
GAGGAGGGGUGGAGGAGUGGGGAGGAGCCAAUCUACGGCUCCCCUCCCUACCCCGCCCCGCCCAGCAGCCAGUUUGGGGUUGGUUUGUUUAUUUUUUUAAUUUUACUCUAGGGUGUACUUUCCUAUGCUUGUCCACAAGGGGUCACCAUAGUCUCAAACCGAGAUUCCUCGUUUCCCUCCCCCUCCAUCCCUCUUGUCAAAUUAGGCACGGCCAAUCCUGGCGCACGUUUCCAAGACGUCAUGAGUUGCUAGUCAAAUUUCAUGCGUGAGCUUCGGGAAUCUCGAGUUGCGCCUGCGUGUCCGCCUGUCAACUGCCGCGGUCCCGUGGCGUGGCGCGAGAGUGGGGCAGCUCUCUUACUACUAAGAACAAAAAAAGAAGUGUAAGAUAAGAGAAGAGAGAUUCUGCAUUUAGGAGAGAAAUCAAUCUCAUGCAGAGAUCAUCUGAGCAGCAGUAGAGAAGGGGUGAAGAGGAUACUGAGAAUUCUGGAGGGGGAGAGGACUCUGGAACCCAACUGACAGGUCACUUCCAGCCUGGGAGAUGGAGGAGAAAGGUAGAUUUCCUGAAGGCUGAGAAGCCCAUUCAUUUGAGACUUCCCUUCCCUUCUGAGACUCUGAAACAUUGCCACCAAGACUCUUAACUACAGCUGUUUAAAAUACUUAAGAGGACUUGUGGAUUUGGACUUUUGACCAGAACCAUCCAACCAUCCAAAUCCUAACCCCCCCCCCCCCUCUUUCCCUCUCUCCCUCUCUCUCCCUCUCUCUCCCUCUCUCUCCCUCCCUCUCCCUCUCUCUCCCUCCCUCCAAAAAGGAAAGGCCAGGGCUGAGAAGCCUUUGGCCUCCAGAUUCUGAAAGGCCAUCUGCCAUCCUCAAGAGGGGAAAAUCUUUAUGGUUACCUUUUACCCACUUUCCAUCUUCCUACCUCCUACCCCUGCCGUUCCCUUCCUAUUUUGACCACAUUAAAUCAUUUCAAAUUUAGGACUUUGAGUUUGGGUCUGUUACUAAAUAACAUAACAAAGGGGAUCAAGAUUUGAAAUCAUUGAGACAGGAUUUCAAGCAGAAAUCCUGUCUUCUCCUGUGACCUCUCAAAGGUUUAGGAGGGUCACACUUCUUACCAAGAGAGGGUUUGACUUCCAAACCUCAGUGACUCAGUGUUAUCUGACCAGGAAACUGACAUCUUUUCCUUGGCAGUUGACCAUUUCUAAAACCCUGAAAAGGCAGACAGUUAAUGUGCUUGGGGCCAUCAGUCCACGACACCUUGACAGAGUCAUGCGUGUUAGCUGGGGAGACCACAGAGUGGUCCUUGGCGAGAUGUAACUGCCCACUCUAUCCCCCUUGCAUGACUUCUUUCAUCAGUGCCCCUUCCCUAUGAAUUGACAUGAUUAUUAUUCCCCCUAGUCUCAAAAGAAAUAAUGCAAGCGCAAAACACAUGUACCCUUAUUCCCCCAAAACAUCACCAAAAGUUCAGAUCCUCAAACCCAAUCCCAAAAGACUAUCAUGGGUUAACUUUUACUUAGGUACAUAAUUCCCAGCAAAUCCACAGCUACAGGCCAAGCCCAAAACUUUCUCAAGAAGCCAGCACACAAAUCAAUCAUAGAGGUCCAAGCGAUAGGUACAAGUACAUCAAGCUUCAGUAUGCCUCAGUGAAUCAGUAACUCCCUAGAAGUCACCAGUCUAAAUUUGAGUUGUGUUCCCAGACCCCUCAGCCCCUAUGGUAUGAUUGUUGAAUUGUCUUCUAAGAUCUGCUGAUUAAUUAUUCCAUUUUAUUAAAAGCAAUACGUAAUUUUCCUUGAUUAUUUGUAAGCUCAAAACUUCUCACAGGGUAAUGAGAAAACUAAGCCACCUGUGACGAAAUCAUUUAUCUUGUGUGCAAUCUUUAUUCUGUUCAUAAUCACAAUACAAAAAUAUAGAAUGUUAAUCAAGUGAUUUGUUAAAAGUUAAUGUAUCACUUUCCCAAUUAUCUCUCUUUGAUUUUGUAUACCUGCAUGCCAAGAAUAUGGAUAUAAAAAUAAAUCCCAAGCCUGGGAAUGUCGGAGCAGCUGAGAUGCAAAGCAAUCCCAUGGCCAGUAUGAUUAAGCUGUCUUCCGUUUGUUAUUUAUUUUAUUUUAUUUAUUUUGACUGAUUGUUCUCCACCUGUCGGGAACCCUGGAGUCGUGAAUGAGGCUGGACCCUGACUGUGGCAUUAAUGUCCCUUUGGGAAGUAGAGGUAUAAUAGAUCAUCUUGCCUCUCAUUGAGGCAAUCCCACUCUAGUCUUCUGUCCCCCAUCUCCUAGAUAAUAUCUCUGAGGAGCCAUACUCUUUUUUUCCAAGGGAACAGGAUCUGACUUAUCUCCCCCCAUAAGUAACGGAGGAGAGAAACAAUCCCUUCAUUAUCUCUCACCCCUUUUCCCUCCUUCCCAUCUUCUCCUUCUUUACAUAAGCCAUGCUGCAUCUUUGUGACUUAAAAUAUUCAUGCAAUAAAAGCCCAUUUCUUUUAGCAUCACUAGUGGUAAAUGGAGUUUUGUGCCCCAGGACUAUAUUCCCCAGAAUUCCCUUACUUUUCCCAGAAUUCCUUGAAUUACGUUCCCUACUUUGUGUCUUUAUGUCUUGUAAAUAAGUUUGCUAUAACUCCGCCUUUUUGCUCUUCUUCCAGUGGUCUCCUCCUCUUCUCUUGGGCUGAGGGCAGGUUAUUGCUCUCUCUCUUUCUACUCACAGGUUUAUUUUUUUAAAAUUCCCUUUACUUUGACUUAUUACUAAUAAAUACUUAUAUAAUACUUGGAGUAGUGUAUAUUAAUUUUUAAUCUUACAUUUCUGCCCGACCACUUUGGGAAUGAAUUCUCAAAAUUUUUUAAGAUAGCCUUUUUGAGUGAAGGGUAAAGAGAUUUCCUGGUGCUAGGGACCCCCCCACCACACGAGCAGGGAGCAAGAUUGUGCUCUCUCAGCCCACUGCUGCUCCCACCACUAUUGCCCCAGCCCGUGACAAGAGAGGAGAGCUGGGUAACUGCCUUGCUCCAUAUGCCCUCAGCUUUUGCUGCUGCUGCUGCUGCUUCCUGGCAGCUUCCUUGCCUCUGUGACAAUUAAAAGAGUGGUUGGUAUAAAUUGUGACCGUGGAAAUAUGGUUUCAAGAUAUUGUCUUGAGUUAAAUCAAAUAUAAAGUGGUUGCCAGGGGAAAAUUCCCAAAUAUGAAAUAUACCCAAGUCAGCUGGGUUUUUAUGGAGAUUUUAAUUAAUACAAAUUAAGGAAUUAAUGAAAGGGAGAGAGAGAGUAAGAGAAAAUGAGAAAAGGGGUAGGCCAGCCCAGACCAGCCUAGGCCAGCUUCAGCCCAAACCCUAAGAGAGAUCAGUCUAGUCUUUAAUCCACUCACCACAAGAUUUGUCCCAAGCAAGAUUCUAGUGUUCAGAGAGACCCAGCUACUCUAACUAGUCCAAGCUCCAAUUCAGCUUUGGCAAACUGAAUUUUCAGCCAGCCACCAAGCCCUUCAAGGCAGCUCUGGCAAGCUGCCUCUCUCCAAUUCAGCUUUGGCAAGCUGCAAUCUCCAGAGACCUCUUUUGAGCUCCUUUUAAAGAGAAUUUUCUCUUAAGUCACCUCCCCUAAGUUCUCACAUCUACCAAUCACAGUAGACGUUUUUUCCAAAGGACUGACCAUUCUUAAUUCACAUCUUCUUUAGUUCUCAACUUCUCUGGGUAGACUAAAACUUCUGAGUGAGUUCAUACCUCUUUGUCCCUUGCAAGUUUGCAAGUUGCCUGACCUUCAUAGGUACUUAGCACCUUUUUGUAUUAGAUCUAAAAAUAGACUUAGCUUAAGGUUUUUUGCCUUACUAUAAGUAUAGGUUAAGUACUUUUCAUUGUUCAGUAAAGAUUUUACAACUUUAUCUUCCCCUAAAGUAUGCUUAAGUAUGGGUGGAGUAGAGUUCUCACAUCCCUGAUCAAGUACCAUCAUUGUUUAAAAUGGAGAAUGGUCUUGACCAAAUCUUAUGAAAUAGGGUCUGAGAAUUUUUAAGAUUCACACCUCAUACAGAUGUCUCUGAGUCUCCAUAGGAGGAGAUGACAUAUAUAUUUCCCUACAUUGCUAGCAGCUGACUGGUUGGUACUGUUCCCUUGGCCUCUGGUUGUGGCCAUACCCUGCCCCCACCUGGGUCUCAAGCAGCAGCUGUUUGACCUUCCAGCUUGUGGCUCAGGAGGCUCAUAGACCACAGGGCAGCACUUUCCUGGCUGACUAGCCCCACUCCCCUCCUAGUUUUUAAGCAGAUUAAAAAAAAAGCUGACCCUGAGCUCCCAGCUGAGAGGGUUGCAACUGAGUUUUUUUUCACAGGGAGGGCAGGGAAUGAAUCAGUGGAUUUGAAGUAAUAGUUUUGGGGAAUUUGCCUCUGAUUUUUUUGUCCUUUUUCUCCUGACCCAAAACACCAAGAGAUACUCUGUCUUUUAUAUUCAAAUACCCUAUUCUUCUCCCUGGCAGUUUUACCCCUAGGGAGGAGGGCACAGAAAAAGCACAGCUUUUCCAGGCCUCUUACCCAACACUUAAAGGAUUUUUUCCCUUCCAGUCUUUUUGUUUUCCCUGUAAAUAAAAUCCAUUCAGCUUUUUUCCCUUUUUUUGGAGGAAUAAUGCUGUUUCAAAGCAUGCUUGAAACUCUGAAAGAACACUUUGAGUUGGAAGAGCUUACAAGGGUAGAUUGGCUCUAAUUCUUUUCCUGGCAGUUUUUAUUUUAAUUGGAUACUUCUCAUUUUAUUUACUUCUCCUCAAGAAUAUAUAGCAACAAGCUAGGCUGCUUGAAUUAUGGACCAAACUGGGAAAUUUUGACAAAGUUUUCAAAAUCUUAAAUACUCUCAACAUGCAGAAUGGAGAUUCUGCCCAGUGCGUGUAUGAAGAGCUCCAGAAACGUGACCAAAGGAAUCUAAAUGGAUGGAGGGGAAGGAACCUUAAAGAGAUCUGGAAGUUUAUUGAUGUUAACUUUUUGAGUUUUGUUUCCCUUCCUAAUAGUGAACAAGUCUAUUGGAAUUGGAGAAAAGGUCUUUUGAAUUCACUGCCCGUAUCCUGUCAUGCAUAUUGUUUUUGUUGAUUGUUUUAAGAUUCAGUUUUGUUUUUUAAGUUCACACAUUACUCUAAUCAAUACUAUUCUGUUACACUAAGUAAUUUUCAACUAUUGUAUUUUGGCCAUCAACUUUAUGUUCUGUUGCACUGUCUUUAUUUGCACCUCCCCUAUGACUGUACUGAAGAACAUAUCAUUCAUUGUAAAUGUCCAUAAACAACUUGCACAAACACUUUUUGUGGCAAAAUCAUAAGUCCAUAUGGAUGCUAGGUUUGUCACCAGAUCCAUUGAGGUCACAUGUUGCCUUAACAGACUUUUGUUCCUUUUUGCCUAAUUUUCAUAUAGAUGACGGAUGGACUCCAUCAAACUGGUUACAACCUAUAUACAACCUUUGGAGAAUUUAAUGACCUGAAUAUCCCAAUUGAUUUUAAGGGGUCUUCAGAAGUGAUUUUUAGAUAUCUAGUAGCAUCUAUAUCUCUGACUGAUCAUUUGCCUACCUCUGAGUUGUUUGUGACAAAAGGUAAGGGUCUAUUUUGUAGCUGAAGUGGAGUGCAAUGGCACUGUUGUAUUUUCCCAUCUCUGCAUUUAUUAAAAAUGUAAUGAAUGAGACAUCUGAAGUUAUUUUCAUAAUUGUAGUCCGUGGCUCCACAUGUAAUGGAUGGGACAGAUUGGAGACAUGUUUUUUACAUUAUUACAGUCUUAUACCAGAGGGAGGGAGGUGCCCAAAUGGCUUGGUUACCCUGUAAUGGGUUAUAAUCUCAUCUGGGAGGUGGGAAUGAUUUUCCUGGGAAGCCUAGUAGCUUCUGAACAGGGUUUUUUAUAUUUGUAACUCUUCAGCUUAUUCUACCCUUCCACCAGAAUGAUCUAAAUUCUUGGUGACAUUUUAGACCCAAAAGAUUUUCAUCAGCAGUACAGAGGUUUUUGUUUUUUCUGGGUUCCUCUGCCAUAUUUUGGAAUGAUGGCAGUAAUAGACUUUGUUAAAAAUAUCUCAUCUAAGGUUGAAAGAUUGGUUAUAUCUGUCAAACUUGUGACAAGUAUCCACGAGUUCAUAGGUUUUUGAAAUGUGACACAGAGACUCAUAUGAAUCCUAUUUGAUAGUAGGUUUGCAAUUGCCAUUAAGUGGGCUAUUAUGAUUUUGGGGAAUUUUGGUAUUUCUUUGAAUGUGCAUUACCUGCUGUGCUACUGUUUUAUAAAGCUGUUACUUUGUGAAAAUAAUUUGCACUAACGGCGUGGAUCAUGGCCAAGUUUAAAAAGGAAGUGGAUCUCAUUUGGGGGUAAGAAACCUUUGUAUUCUACCUUGCCUUGGCUGACACAGUGUGUCACUGAUUGUGAAAUAUGGAUUUUUGAUUAAAAAAAAUUUUUUUUAUUAUUCUUUUCCCUUGUAUGUGCAAUCUGGUAUUUGAGUCACAUAUAUAUUUUUUCUCAUUUUUUGUACUUGAAGCACAUAUUACCAGUAUUAACUUUUUUUAUUUUGAACUAUGGUAAGCUUAAAAUGUCUAUUAGCCCUAAUGUCAAUGCAUACCCCAAAGCUUUAGACUAUAGAAACAGUGCCAUUGAUUGUUUAAAAAUUAUGGGGCUUUGCUUAAUGAUUCUGUCUGAUUCCAGGAGAAGGGAACAAAAAGAGCUACUGUACAAUGCCAAAGAAGCACAAAGUUAACUUGCAUAGUGCCAAUUGAGCACAAGGUCAAAGAGACCAAAACAAUCCCUGUGGAAUUGAAAUUCUACACCACGACAAGAAGACUUGAAUUUGUUUGAGGUUUGAGCUUGUGGCUGUUUGACAUACAUCAGAGGCAGGUCUUUCCCGUCUUACAUUCUAUCAAACCCCCCACUUUGGCUGCCAUCCUGGCUCCCCAUCCCUAAGAGAAAAAGGUAAAAUCAGACCAGGGAAUGCUAUUUCCCAUUUGCUACUAAAAUCUAGUCCCUUUUCUAUUUUUCAUAUUGUGGCAAAUUUUCUGUAGUCCUGGCUGCUGAUUGGGUAAGUGCAUAAUUUCUACUACAGGCUUAUGGGGCAUAAAUCACUUUAAUCUGGCCCUGAUUCAAGGACCUGCUAUAAGUUUAUUUUUCCUUUACUUAGAAUUUUUACACAUAAGACUUUGAUAUUGUAUAUUUCAUCUAGAAGUUAUUUUUUCUCUUUUAUUUGAAUUUUAUGUUUUUGAAUUUCUUUUGCCAAUUGAUUCAUAUACCUCAUAACUCAGCCAUGUAUCCCUGUGUGAUCCUUGUGUUUGUCACCAUCCUCCUUGUGGGGGGGGGGGAGGGAUUGUAUUAUUAUCCUAUAAUGCAAACUUAAAAUUCUUUUGAGAGUAAUUUUAGGAUAAGAAACUUGCUACCUCCCAGAAUCCAGAAAGUGAACUGUUUGGAGAAGGUGCCAUGAAGAUGCCUAUAGAAAUCACACAUUGCACCAAAAGAUCCAGAGUGAACUUUGGGAUGUGCUAAAUUGAACAAUGGGGGGUUGAAUACACUUGUUUUCAAUGUACACUCUUAUGCCAAAGGGUACUGCUCCCAAAUUGGCUUUUUGUCAAUGUACCUAACAUUGGUUUUGUUCUUUUUCUCUUUUAUUUCCCUUUUCUCCUCAAAUUAGUGUAAUUUGCCUUUAGAAACUGCAAUAUUGUAUGUACCUCUAGUUAAAGUUAUGUUAGUUAUGUUUCCAUGAUCCAUUGGGGCGACUAAUCUUCCAAAGGAUCCCAGGGGGAAAUGUAUAAACAAAGUUUUGUGCCCUAGGACUAUGUUCCACAGAAUUCUUUUACUUUUCCCAGAAUUCCUUGAAUUACUUUCCCCACUUUGUGUCCUUACAUUUUGUAAAUAAGUUUGUUGUAACCCUGCCUUUUCAUUCUUUUCUUCCUGCCUUCUCCUCAUCUUCCCUUGGACUAUGAGCAGGUUAUCUCUCUCUACUCACAGGUUGUUUUUUUAAAAUUCCCUUUACUUGAAGUUAUUAUUAAUAAAUACUUAUAGCAUAUAA